This 200-nucleotide long non-coding RNA is filed under the name Gossypium barbadense (sea-island cotton). RNAcentral's name for it is "long non-coding RNA (GBAR_LNC005026)". The record is from RNAcentral. Lineage: Eukaryota; Viridiplantae; Streptophyta; Magnoliopsida; Malvales; Malvaceae.
UAGGAUUGAUAUGAGACAUUAUUUGACAUAAAGCAAAAUACUUUAAUUAUUUAAAACAAGAUUCCCGACAAGUGGUUUUCAGCUGUUUGCAUUUGAAUGGGGAAGCUGAGCACUAUCCAUUAAAUCUUCACUGCAGCAAGUCAUUUCUUCGUCUUUUUCUUUUUCAUCGUGCAAUUCUAUCUUGGCAAGACUGAUUUGAC